RNAcentral lists this ribosomal RNA (103 nucleotides) under Podosphaera carpesiicola. RNAcentral describes it as "partial 28S ribosomal RNA". It matches the Rfam family "Eukaryotic large subunit ribosomal RNA", at positions 1 to 101 of the family's 3401-position model. Lineage: Eukaryota; Fungi; Ascomycota; Leotiomycetes; Helotiales; Erysiphaceae. The record is from RNAcentral.
AUGACCUCGGAUCAGGUAGGGAUACCCCGCUGAACUUAAGCAUAUCAAUAAGCGGAGGAAAAGAAACCAACAGGGAUUACCUCAGUAACGGCGAGUGAAGCGG